RNAcentral lists this ribosomal RNA (406 nucleotides) under uncultured bacterium. RNAcentral describes it as "partial 16S ribosomal RNA". It matches the Rfam family "Bacterial small subunit ribosomal RNA", at positions 29 to 526 of the family's 1533-position model. The record is from RNAcentral.
AUUGAACGCUGGCGGCAGGCCUAACACAUGCAAGUCGAACGAGUGGCGGACGGGUGAGUAAUGUCUGGGAAACUGCCUGAUGGAGGGGGAUAACUACUGGAAACGGUAGCUAAUACCGCAUACAAUCAGAUGUGCCCAGAUGGGAUUAGCUAGUUGGUGGGGUAACGGCUCACCAAGGCGACGCUCCCUAGCUGGUCUGAGAGGAUGACCAGACACACUGGAACUGCGACACGGGCCAGAGUCCUACGCGAGGAAGCAGGGGGGAAGAGGGCAAGAUUGGCGAAAGCCCGAUGCAACCAUGCCGCGUGGAUGAAGAAGGCCUUCGGGUUGUAAAGUACUUUCAGCGGGGAGGCGUUACCCGCAGAAGAAGCGCCGGCUAACUCCGUGCCAGCCGCCGCGGUAAUUC